GACGAACGCUGGCGGCGUGCUUAACACAUGCAAGUCGAACGGUGAAGCCCUUCGGGGUGGAUCAGUUGCGAACGGGUGAGUAACACGUGAGCAACCUGCCCCUGGCUCUGGGACAACCACUGGAAACGGUGGCUAAUACCGGAUACGACCCGCCGCUGCAUCGACUGGGGGUGGAAAGUUUUGCGGCUGGGGAUGGGCUCGCGGCCUAUCAGCUUGUUGGUGAGGUUAAGGCUCACCAAGGCGACGACGGGUAGCCGGCCUGAGAGGGCGACCGGCCACACUGGGACUGAGACACGGCCCAGACUCCUACGGGAGGCAGCAGUGGGGAAUAUUGCACAAUGGGCGAAAGCCUGAUGCAGCGACGCCGCGUGAGGGAUGACGGCCUUCGGGUUGUAAACCUCUUUCAGCUCUGAAGAAGCGAAAGUGACGGUAGGAGCAGAAGAAGCACCGGCUAACUACGUG
RNAcentral lists this ribosomal RNA (462 nucleotides) under uncultured bacterium. Its description in RNAcentral is "partial 16S ribosomal RNA". It matches the Rfam family "Bacterial small subunit ribosomal RNA", at positions 28 to 507 of the family's 1533-position model. The record is from RNAcentral.